Molecule: ribosomal RNA, 429 nt
Filed under: uncultured Rhodocyclaceae bacterium
Lineage: Bacteria; Pseudomonadati; Pseudomonadota; Betaproteobacteria; Rhodocyclales; Rhodocyclaceae
Description: bacterial SSU rRNA
Rfam family: Bacterial small subunit ribosomal RNA
Source: RNAcentral
UUCGAUGCAACGCGAAAACCUUACCUACCUUGACAUGUCCGGAAUCCGAAGAGAUUUGGAGUACUCGCAAGAGAACCGGAACACAGGUGCUGCAUGGCUGUCGUCAGCUCGUGUCGUGAGAUGUUGGGUUAAGUCCCGCAACGAGCGCAACCCUUGUCAUUAGUUGCCAUCAUUUGGUUGGGCACUCUAAUGAGACUGCCGGUGACAAACCGGAGGAAGGUGGGGAUGACGUCAAGUCCUCAUGGCCCUUAUGGGUAGGGCUUCACACGUCAUACAAUGGUCGGUACAGAGGGUUGCCAACCCGCGAGGGGGAGCUAAUCCCACAAAGCCGAUCGUAGUCCGGAUCGCAGUCUGCAACUCGACUGCGUGAAGUCGGAAUCGCUAGUAAUCGUGGAUCAGCAUGUCACGGUGAAUACGUUCCCGGGUCUU